GACGAACGCUGGCGGCGGGCCUAACACAUGCAAGUCGAACGCACUCGACCUUCGGGUCACAUGAGUGAGUGGCGAACGGGUGAGUAACACGUGAGGAACCUGCCCCGAAGACUGGAAUAACCCGAGGAAACUCGGGCUAAUACCGGAUAUCCCCACCAGGUCGCAUGGCCAGGUGAGGAAAUGCUCCGGCGCUUCGGGAGGGUCUCGCGGCCUAUCAGCUAGUUGGUGAGGUAACGGCUCACCAAGG
This 247-nucleotide ribosomal RNA is filed under the name uncultured Actinomycetes bacterium. RNAcentral describes it as "uncultured actinobacterium partial 16S ribosomal RNA". It matches the Rfam family "Bacterial small subunit ribosomal RNA", at positions 28 to 273 of the family's 1533-position model. Lineage: Bacteria; Bacillati; Actinomycetota; Actinomycetes. The record is from RNAcentral.